This 253-nucleotide ribosomal RNA is filed under the name uncultured bacterium. RNAcentral's name for it is "partial 16S ribosomal RNA". It matches the Rfam family "Bacterial small subunit ribosomal RNA", at positions 524 to 776 of the family's 1533-position model. The record is from RNAcentral.
UACGUAGGGUGCAAGCGUUAAUCGGAAUUACUGGGCGUAAAGCGUGCGAAGGCGGUUGUGCAAGACCGAUGUGAAAUCCCCGGGCUUAACCUGGGAAUGGCAUUGGUGACUGCACGGCUAGAGUGUGUCAGAGGGGGGUAGAAUUCCACGUGUAGCAGUGAAAUGCGUAGAGAUGUGGAGGAAUACCGAUGGCGAAGGCAGCCCCCUGGGAUAACACUGACGCUCAUGCACGAAAGCGUGGGGGGCAAACAGG